This 424-nucleotide ribosomal RNA is filed under the name uncultured bacterium. RNAcentral describes it as "bacterial SSU rRNA". It matches the Rfam family "Bacterial small subunit ribosomal RNA", at positions 29 to 498 of the family's 1533-position model. The record is from RNAcentral.
AACGAACGCUGGCGGCAGGCCUAACACAUGCAAGUCGAGCGCACCCUUCGGGGCGAGCGGCGGACGGGUUAGUAACGCGUGGGAAUGUACCCUUCUCUACGGAAUAGCCAUUGGAAACGAUGAGUAAUACCGUAUACGCCCUUCGGGGGAAAGAUUUAUCGGAGAAGGAUCAGCCCGCGUUAGAUUAGAUAGUUGGUGGGGUAAUGGCCUACCAAGUCUACGAUCUAUAGCUGGUUUUAGAGGAUGAUCAGCAACACUGGGACUGAGACACGGCCCAGACUCCUACGGGAGGCAGCAGUGGGGAAUCUUAGACAAUGGGCGCAAGCCUGAUCUAGCCAUGCCGCGUGAGUGAUGAAGGCCUUAGGGUCGUAAAGCUCUUUCGCCAGGGAUGAUAAUGACAGUACCUGGUAAAGAAACCCCGGCU